CCCCUCUCAGGGUCACAUCUGGAGAGUUUCCAGUACUCUACUAGUCAUGACUACAGGACGGAGAGUCAAGCAGAGGCCUACCCAUUCUAUUCCUAGCUGGGGCAGUGGCUAGCGAGUGGAAGGCAAUCUGCUACAAGU
This 138-nucleotide small nucleolar RNA is filed under the name Ornithorhynchus anatinus (platypus). Lineage: Eukaryota; Metazoa; Chordata; Mammalia; Monotremata; Ornithorhynchidae. The record is from RNAcentral.